Molecule: long non-coding RNA, 557 nt
Filed under: Cyanistes caeruleus (blue tit)
Lineage: Eukaryota; Metazoa; Chordata; Aves; Passeriformes; Paridae
Description: lncRNA (ENSCCEG00000024495.1)
Source: RNAcentral
AUUUAAUGCCAGCUAAAAAUGAGGUUUCUGGGAAGAAAGGACAUGUAUGUACAUACACAUUUUAGAUGAACAGAUUGUCAUGGGUCUUUUUCAGGCACUUAACAGUACAUGUCUUUAUUUUCUCCAAGAGACUCAUGCUGGCCUACCACUCCAAAAAGGAGCACAUUGCUGAUUUUUAGUUGGGAUGGAGCAAUGGCAGAGAAGCCGAAGUGUAACAAGGAUUUCACAUGCGGAAAGAAAAGUGCUGCUCAGUCUGUGACAACCUUCUGGUGCAGGAGAAGCAGACAAGGCUUCUGAAAAGAAUCUGUCUCUUCUCAGAGCUCUUUGGCUCUGGGAUUUAUCAUGAGACCAAGCCCACAAAAGGACCAAAAGAAGACCAGAGCCAGAGCUGUGGAAGGCAUCAGAAAGAAUCCCAGAUUUUCAGCCCUCAGUCACUGCUGUUUACACUACAUAACCUCUGAAAAAAUCCUGCUUAGGCAUGGAAGAGGAGCUGCAUGGACUGAGUUCUCAGGCUGCAUCUUGCUGGCAUCUGCUACUGGACAAAUGAAAUAAAUGUC